UACGGAGGGUGCAAGCGUUAUCCGGAUUUACUGGGUUUAAAGGGUGCGCAGGCGGAUAUGUAAGUCAGUGGUGAAAUCUCUAGGCUUAACCUGGAAAUUGCCGUUGAUACUAUAUAUCUUGAAUGCUGUGGAGGUAAGCGGAAUAUGUCAUGUAGCGGUGAAAUGCUUAGAGAUGACAUAGAACACCUAUUGCGAAGGCAGCAGGCUAAACGACCAUUGACGCUGAGGCACGAAAGCGUGGGGAUCAAACAGG
RNAcentral lists this ribosomal RNA (253 nucleotides) under uncultured bacterium. RNAcentral's name for it is "partial 16S ribosomal RNA". It matches the Rfam family "Bacterial small subunit ribosomal RNA", at positions 524 to 776 of the family's 1533-position model. The record is from RNAcentral.